GAUGAACGCUGGCUACAGGCUUAACACAUGCAAGUCGAACGGUAGCAGGAGAAAGCUUGCUUUCUUGCUGACGAGUGGCGGACGGGUGAGUAAUGCUUGGGAAUCUGGCUUAUGGAGGGGGAUAACUACGGGAAACUGUAGCUAAUACCGCGUAGUAUCGGAAGAUGAAAGUGCGGGACCGCAAGGCCGCAUGCCAUGAGAUGAGCCCAAGUGGGAUUAGGUAGUUGGUGGGGUAAAGGCCUACCAAGCCUGCGAUCUCUAGCUGGUCUGAGAGGAUGGCCAGCCACACUGGAACUGAGACACGGUCCAGACUCCUACGGGAGGCAGCAGUGGGGAAUAUUGCGCAAUGGGGGGAACCCUGACGCAGCCAUGCCGCGUGAAUGAAGAAGGCCUUCGGGUUGUAAAGUUCUUUCGGUAUUGAGGAAGGAGUGUAUGUUAAUAGCAUGCAUUAUUGACGUUAAAUACAGAAGAAGCACCGGCUAACUCCGUGCCAGCAGCCGCGGUAAUACGGAGGGUGCGAGCGUUAAUCGGAAUAACUGGGCGUAAAGGGCACGCAGGCGGUUAUUUAAGUGAGGUGUGAAAGCCCCGGGCUUAACCUGGGAAUUGCAUUUCAGACUGGGUAACUAGAGUACUUUAGGGAGGGGUAGAAUUCCACGUGUAGCGGCGAAAUGCGUAGAGAUGUGGAGGAAUACCGAAGGCGAAGGCAGCCCCUUGGGAAUGUACUGACGCUCAUGUGCGAAAGCGUGGGGAGCAAACAGG
This 759-nucleotide ribosomal RNA is filed under the name uncultured Haemophilus sp. Its description in RNAcentral is "bacterial SSU rRNA". It matches the Rfam family "Bacterial small subunit ribosomal RNA", at positions 28 to 776 of the family's 1533-position model. Lineage: Bacteria; Pseudomonadati; Pseudomonadota; Gammaproteobacteria; Pasteurellales; Pasteurellaceae. The record is from RNAcentral.